GCCAGGCGUGGUGGCCCAUGCCUGUAAUCCCAGCUGCUUGGGAAGCUGAGGCAGGAGGAUCUCAAGUUCAAAGCCAGCCUUAGCAACAAUGAGGCAUUAAGCAACUCAGUGAGACUCUAUCUCUA
Molecule: small RNA, 125 nt
Filed under: Marmota monax (woodchuck)
Lineage: Eukaryota; Metazoa; Chordata; Mammalia; Rodentia; Sciuridae
Source: RNAcentral